Non-coding RNA from Microdochium trichocladiopsis, 111 nucleotides. Lineage: Eukaryota; Fungi; Ascomycota; Sordariomycetes; Xylariales; Microdochiaceae. The record is from the annotation of a RefSeq genome assembly.
GGCCUUGUGGCGCAACGGUAGCGCGUCUGACUCCAGUUACUUGGAUCAAAUCGUUGAAUAACGACGAUUAAUGCCAUCAGAAGGUUAUCCGUUCAAAUCGGGUCAGGGUCA